Molecule: regulatory RNA element, 135 nt
Organism: Desulfosporosinus youngiae DSM 17734
Lineage: Bacteria; Bacillati; Bacillota; Clostridia; Eubacteriales; Desulfitobacteriaceae
Rfam family: Molybdenum/Tungsten riboswitch aptamer (Moco RNA motif)
Source: Rfam
AUUAAAUAUUGAAUCCGAGCUUUUUAUUCUAAAGGAAGCUUCCCAUGAAUACUAAGCCUAAACCGGAGGGUUUACGGGGUUAGACAGGAAACAGUCUGGCCUUCACUUGUGAGAAGGAUGAUGCUUAAAAACAGA